Molecule: ribosomal RNA, 254 nt
Filed under: uncultured bacterium
Lineage: Bacteria
Description: partial 16S ribosomal RNA
Rfam family: Bacterial small subunit ribosomal RNA
Source: RNAcentral
CACGUAGGCACCAAGCGUUGUCCGGAUUUAUUGGGCGUAAAGAGCUCGUAGGCGGUUCAGUAAGUCAGGUGUGAAAUCUUUGGGCUUAACCCAAAGCGUGCACUUGAUACUGCUGUGACUUGAGUUCGGUAGGGGAGUGGGGAAUUCCUAGUGUAGCGGUGAAAUGCGCAGAUAUUCGGAAGAACACCAGUGGCGAAGGCGACUCGCUGGACAAGUAUUGACGCUGAGGUGCGAAAGCGUGGGGAGCAAACAGG